This is a non-coding RNA of Corylus avellana, 1124 nucleotides long. The record is from RefSeq and is a predicted model, not a curated record. Lineage: Eukaryota; Viridiplantae; Streptophyta; Magnoliopsida; Fagales; Betulaceae.
CUUCCCUUGACGUGCGAGUCGCCACCUAAGCUCAAGCUCCACACACACACGCUCUAUCUCUCUCUCUCUCUCUCUCACAAAGUUGGUAGCAAUGGCAAGCAAUGAAGCGCAACACAGAGAGAAGGAAGAAGAAAACGCACCGGCCGAAGACGAAGACACCGGCGCGCAAGUGGCCCCGAUAGUCAGGCUCCAAAAGGUGGCCGUUACCACCGGCGAGGAAGAAGAGGACGCCAUCCUCGAUCUAAAGGCAAAGCUGUACCGUUUCGAUAAAGGAGGGAAGCAGUGGAAGGAAAGAGGCGUAGGCAAUGUGAAGCUUCUGAAGCACAAGGACUCUGGCAAGGUCAGGCUCGUAAUGCGCCAAUCCAAGACCCUCAAGAUCUGCGCUAACCAUCUAGUUGUUCCCACAAUGAAAGUGCAAGAGCAUACUGGGAAUGAUAAAUCAUGCAUAUGGCACGCCGCCGACUUUGCAGACGGGGAAUUGAAGGAUGAGCUCUUCUGUAUUAGAUUUGCAUCAGUUGAGAACUGCAAGACCUUCAUGGCAAAGGUUGAAGAAGUUGCUGAAACAGAGGGAAAGAAAGAGGAUGCGUCGGAUACCACCAGACUCUUGGAAAAGUUGAGUGUUAGAGAUGGUAUACCCAAGGGGAAAGAGCUAGAAGAGAAUGCUGCUGCGUCCAAGGCUGUAGGUGAGCAUGCAAAACCAGAGGGGGAUAAGACAGACGAGCCAGCUUCAUAAGACCCAAAAAGAGCAGAAGUCCUGUUAUCAAGGGAAAUGGAGAGGCGGGUACUCCUGAGUCACAGGAUGCACACUUGUUCCAGAAAUAAAUGACUUGUGUAGGACAGUUUAUGUGAGUGACAUGUAGCAAUGCCUUGCGGGUGGGUCAACCCGGACUUCUAGUUGGAAGCACUUGGCCCAAUGAUGGUCCAAACUUUGCAUGAGCCUAAUCAAUCCCAGAAUGGAAAACUUGGAAGGUUUGCUGUGCGAGUAGUUGAACAAAUCAGCAACCAGGUAUCUCAACACUGGGAGCCAUUGUUGGCAUUUUAUCAUAAUAUUUAAGCACUCUCUAUAAUGUAAUUUUGAAGUGGAAGUGUUACGGAAAAUUGGAAAUUAAACAUUCUUUUUUCUC